AACGAACGCUUGCGGCGCGCCUAAUACAUGCAAGUCGAACGAGGUAGCAAUACCUAGUGGCGCACGGGUGAGUAACGCGUGGAUAAUCUGCCCUUCAGUGGGGAAUAACCAUCCGAAAGGAUGGCUAAUACCGCAUGAGGCCACAGUUCCUGCGGGAACAGAGGUUAAAGAUUUAUCGCUGAAGGAUGAGUCUGCGUGGGAUUAGCUAGUUGUGGGGUAACGGCCUACCAAGGCGACGAUCUCUAAACUGGUACUGAGAGGAUGACCAGUCACACUGGAACUGAGACACGGUCCAGACUCCUACGGGAGGCAGCAGUAGGGAAUAUUGCGCAAU
Molecule: ribosomal RNA, 334 nt
Filed under: uncultured bacterium
Lineage: Bacteria
Description: bacterial SSU rRNA
Rfam family: Bacterial small subunit ribosomal RNA
Source: RNAcentral